Molecule: ribosomal RNA, 464 nt
Filed under: uncultured bacterium
Lineage: Bacteria
Description: partial 16S ribosomal RNA
Rfam family: Bacterial small subunit ribosomal RNA
Source: RNAcentral
GACGAACGCUGGCGGCGUGCUUAACACAUGCAAGUCGAACGGUAAGGCCCCAGCUUGCUGGGGUACACGAGUGGCGAACGGGUGAGUAACACGUGGGUGACCUGCCCCGCACUUCGGGAUAAGCCCGGGAAACUGGGUCUAAUACCGGAUACGACCGCACUGUGCGGGGGUGGUGGAAAGUUUUUCGGUGUGGGAUGGGCCCGCGGCCUAUCAGCUUGUUGGUGGGGUAGUGGCCUACCAAGGCGGCGACGGGUAGCCGGCCUGAGAGGGUGGACGGCCACAUUGGGACUGAGACACGGCCCAGACUCCUACGGGAGGCAGCAGUGGGGAAUAUUGCACAAUGGGCGGAAGCCUGAUGCAGCGACGCCGCGUGGGGGAUGACGGCCUUCGGGUUGUAAACUCCUUUCACCAUCGACGAAGGUUUUCUGACGGUAGAUGGAGAAGAAGCACCGGCUAACUACGUG